Long non-coding RNA from Lates calcarifer (barramundi perch), 2385 nucleotides. RefSeq lists it as uncharacterized. The transcript has 2 exons. The record is from RefSeq and is a predicted model, not a curated record. Lineage: Eukaryota; Metazoa; Chordata; Actinopteri; Centropomidae.
CAGCUGGGAAAUGGUGAUGUCACAUACUUGCACCUGCACCAAUCAGAGUUUAACUACCAAAGUGAACGAACCCGUACUUUAACUUAAAUUGUUACUUUAAGUCAUUAGUAUUCAGUGUAAUAGAGAAAUAAUAAAAUCUGUUUUGGGGGAUUUAUUGCUUUAAAUUAAUUUUUGAUUACACUUUAAAUUAUUUCCAUGGAAGUACUUCCCCCUACUGGCAAUUUUUUUUAUUAGUGAAUAACAAGACCUUAAGACUAAAUACACAUGAGACUGGCCUGAUAAGACAAAGUGAAAUGUUUUCUUGCUGGUGUUUGGUUUGUUCUCUCACACAACUUUUAUGAUACACCAUGGAAAGUUUGUUUCAUCAUUUGAAUUUCAAAGUUGGUUGCAGUAUUUUGGCACACUUAGUCCUAACUGCAUACCAGAAAUUUUUUCUAUUUCAAAUCCCACCCUUUCUGCCAGUCGCCUCACAUAACUGCUGUUUACUGUUCAGUCCAGGGUUAACACAGAUUUCAGUUGGUGCUGCUGCUGCAGAAAACUUGUGGUCAACGCGCUGAAUUCCCAGAUGAUCUGCAAAAGCCUGCGGGCAAGAAAUGAAGUUAGGAUGUUUCUGUUUCUCCACACCAUGCCAUGGAAGUUCCCUUGAGCACAGCCUCUUCACACCCUGGCAGAUAAGAGAGAGAAGUUUUCAACCUGCAGACAAGCAGAGAGAAGAUGAUGACAGCGGGGCUCACCUCACCCCGGGGAGGUGAAGAGCCCAGAGGUGGUUGCGAAGGAAUGGAUUUCGGGAGCAUGGCUGUGCACUGAGAGGACUAAAAUGGAGGAAAGUGGAGGUGCACGCAGAUAAACAUCAAGGACAAAAUGGGGAUGUGCGGCUAAGAGUCUGAGGGAAAGGAGCAGAUAGGAAUAGGAGGAUAUUUCAGAUCAGUACUCACUGUCGACUGGAAGAAAAAGAGGAGGAAAAAUGCACCAAUGAAAACUAGCAAUGCACAUUUAAAGUGACUGUAUGAAAUAUAAAAAUAGAAAAACAAACAUUUUUGCCAGUCCUGUUAAUGUGCAUCUGCAUUAACUGAUUUUCUUUUUGUGUCCUUUUUUUUUUUUUUUUUUUUACGGAAAACAGCUACCUGCUGCGUCUGAGCCCAGGGUUGAUGACAUUGAGGGUGAAUCAAACCAUUAAAGCUACAAUUCAUAAAAAACAAAACAAUGAGCUGAAAGAUGUUAAAAGGCUCGACAGAACUGAAAACAACUGUAGAGUUGAGUGAUAAUUGUCAGUGGGUUCUUAAAGAUCUUUUAUAAUAUCUGUAGGCAUUGUUGUAGUCAUCUAUUGUUAAUGUAAAAAAAAUGAGUAGUGCAGCUUUAAGUAAUCACACUAUUUAGUAAAUUUGGCAAGAGGUAAGGGACACAUCAGGCAGGCUAAUAGAUAUAAGAUGGAGGUCUUGGUGGCAGGAAAAUUUAUCAACACAUUUUUUAUUUUUUAUUUUAGCUCAGGAAGGAUCUAGAGCCAGAAUUAUUUGGUUCAGAAGAGGCUGUGCUAAAAACGAGCCACAUGAUCCACCAGGAAAACAGCUUUAUACAUGCAGCCUGCAUUUUCCUGAGGAGAAGUCUAAUGAGGUAAACAACAUACACCUGUGUCAGCUGGAGAGCGACGAGGAAAAUGACAGACCUCAUUUCCAAGUAUAACUCAGAGCUCUUACAUUUUUAUACUGAUUUGAAGGAUUGCAUCCUUUCUGUUUAACCAGAAACUGUUGUUAUAUUACUACCAGACUCCAAAAAACAUCAUUUUAAUUUUUUUUUUAAGUUAAUGACCAACCACUGCCUUGAUCAGCUAGUUUGCUAGUGAUAUUCCACCCUGAGUCAGAUGUUUCUUCCGGUUAAAAGAGUUUUUCCUCUCCUUUGUUGCCAGGUGCUCAAGUGUUGUGGGAACUGUUGGGUUUCUCUUUAUGACACUGUAAAGUCUCGACCUUACUCGACACAAAGUUGAAUGUAUGUUGUGAUGUGGCGCUAUACAAAUAAAACUGAACUGACUUGUGAUUCUGCUCCUCUACCAGAAUGAAAUGUAAGAAUGAAAAAGCAUCAUUGAAAUUACUGAACAAACCUUCAACUGUUCACUUGACACAUCUUUGACCUUCUGUUUUAUUCAUUGCUAAUCUUCAAUGUGACUCUCAAUACAUUUAAACUAUGAGAAUGUUACAGCAUACAGCAGACUGUUACUAGAAUGUCUUUUAUCCUCUAAAUGGAAGCUGAAAGUCAUUCAGAAGUGUAGAAUAGUUUGACUGUCAAAAGUUUUAGAAAACAAAAUGUCUUCCUUUAUGUAUAUUUUAGAACUUCAUGUUUUGCUAUGUGUCAUUCAAAACUGAAUAAAAUGCUAGCAUCUUCUAUUUGAAA